Molecule: ribosomal RNA, 459 nt
Filed under: uncultured bacterium
Lineage: Bacteria
Description: partial 16S ribosomal RNA
Rfam family: Bacterial small subunit ribosomal RNA
Source: RNAcentral
CCUACGGGGGGCUGCAGUGGGGAAUAUUGCACAAUGGGGGGAAGCCCUGAUGCAGCGACGCCGCGUGAGUGAAGAAGUACUUCGUAACGUAAAGCUCUAUUAGCAGGGAAGAAACACUGACCUUACGGUCAGCAGACGGUACCUGAGUAAGAAGCCCCGGCUAAAUACGUGCCAGCCGCCGCGGUAAUACGGAGGGGGCAAGCGUUAUCCGGAUUUACUGGGUGUAAAGGGUGCGUAGACGGUGCGCCAAGUCGGGAGUGAAAUGCCGCAGCUUAACUGCAGAACUGCUUUUGAAACUGGGGGACUAGAGUGCGGUAGGGGUAAGCGGAAUGCCUAGUGUAGCGGUGAAAUGCGUAGAUAUUAGGAGGAACACCGAUGGCGAAGGCGGCUUACUGGACCGUAACUGACGUUGAGGCUCGAAAGCGUGGGGAUCAAACAGGAUUAGAUACCCGAGUAGUC